This is a long non-coding RNA of Canis lupus familiaris (dog), 754 nucleotides long. RefSeq lists it as uncharacterized. The transcript has 3 exons. The record is from RefSeq and is a predicted model, not a curated record. NCBI's taxonomy places the organism in Eukaryota, Metazoa, Chordata, Mammalia, Carnivora, Canidae.
AGCCUCCAGGUAAGGAGCGCAGUGAAUCAUCCCGCGAGGAGGGACCAGCGCUCUCUCGCCUCAGCGAGGCGGGGAGUGGCCGUGGCGCUGCCGAGAAGCUGGGGCCGCCCGCCGCUGUCCCGCGGGAAGCCGCGCUUGGGCCAGCCCGCGGCCCGGGGAGGCGCAGGAAGAGAGAAUUUGAAUAGAUGACUUUGAAGACUACAGAACUGAGAUACAAAGAUUUUGAAGUGAUUCUACAUCUGAAGCUAUGAUUUAAAUAUCAGCAUUACAAUUCCCAACUCCUUGAACCUGGCCCAUGGAUGGUAUGAGAAGGAUGACAGAAAGGCUUUGGCAUGAUUUGGCUUGCUCCCUGCUCUGCUUCAAGGAUGUGGCCUGGGUCAUGGUGCAAGUGAACCAGGGCCUCUGAGCAUCUUUUUGAGGUGGAGAGCAAGAACUUGACCCUGUCAAAAGCUGUACCUCCAAAUAGCCUGCUCAAAUACUUACGGAAAGAAGAGACCACGUUUACUAAAGCAAUAAAAUGGAUAAAAUAUCAAGGAAUAACUUAACAUGAAAUAUGUGAAAUCUAUGUGUAGAAACCUGUUAAACAUUCCUAAAGAAUUCAAAAAGAAUUUGAAAAAAAAAGUAGAAUGGCAUACCUCAUGUUCUAGAAUAGGAAAAUUCAAGAUCAUGAAUAUAUCCUUUUUUUCCUCAGUUCCACACAUUCCUAAUAAAAUAUCCACUACUUAAAAAAAAAAAAAAAAAGUAGUUAAGUGGA